RNAcentral lists this ribosomal RNA (484 nucleotides) under uncultured bacterium. RNAcentral's name for it is "partial 16S ribosomal RNA". It matches the Rfam family "Bacterial small subunit ribosomal RNA", at positions 30 to 507 of the family's 1533-position model. The record is from RNAcentral.
AUUGAACGCUGGCGGCAGGCCUAACACAUGCCAGUCGAGCGGAUGAAGGGAGCUUGCUCCUGGAUUCAGCGGCGGACGGGUGAGUAAUGCCUAGGAAUCUGCCUGGUCUUGGGGGAUAACGUCCGGACACGGGCGCUAAUACCGCAUACGUCCUGAGGGAGAAAGUGGGGGAUCUUCGGACCUCACGCUAUCAGAUGAGCCUAGGUCGGAUUAGCUAGUUGGUGAGGUAAAGGCCUACCAAGGCGACGAUCCGUAACUGGUCUGAGAGGAUGAUCAGUCACACUGGAACUGAGACACGGUCCAGACUCCUACGGGAGGCAGCAGUGGGGAAUAUUGGACAAUGGGCGAAAGCCUGAUCCAGCCAUGCCGCGUGUGUGAAGAAGGUCUUCGGAUUGUAAAGCACUUUAAGUUGGGAGGAAGGGCAGUAAGUUAAUACCUUGCUGUUUUGACGUUACCAACAGAAUAAGCACCGGCUAACUUCGUG